UCCGGCUUGACGCCGGCAGUCUCGCUAGAGUACUCGCCAUGACGCGUGAGCAACUAACGACAGGGGUUGCGCUCGUUAGAGGACUUAACCCGACACUUCACAGCACGAGCUGGCGACAGCCAUGCAGCACCUGUGCUUGUUCCACCCUUGCGGGCGUGGCUCCACUUUCAUGGAGUUAAUCCAAGCAUGUCAAACCCAGGUAAGGUUCUUCGCGUUGCCUCGAAUUAAGCAACAUGCUCCACCGCUUGUGUGAGCCCCCGUCAAUUCCUUUGAGUUUCAACCUUGCGGUCGUACUUCCCAGGUGGAUUACUUAAUGCUUUCGCUCAGACGCGCACUGUGUAUCGCACACGUCGAGUAAUCAUCGUUUAGGGCGUGGACUAC
This 381-nucleotide unclassified non-coding RNA is filed under the name uncultured bacterium. RNAcentral describes it as "contains 16S-23S intergenic spacer region". The record is from RNAcentral.